RNAcentral lists this ribosomal RNA (497 nucleotides) under uncultured bacterium. RNAcentral describes it as "partial 16S ribosomal RNA". It matches the Rfam family "Bacterial small subunit ribosomal RNA", at positions 28 to 507 of the family's 1533-position model. The record is from RNAcentral.
GAUGAACGCUGGCGGCGUGCCUAAUACAUGCAAGUCGAGCGAACGGACGAGAAGCUUGCUUCUCUGAUGUUAGCGGCGGACGGGUGAGUAACACGUGGAUAACCUACCUAUAAGACUGGGAUAACUUCGGGAAACCGGAUCUAAUACCGGAUGAUAUUUUGAACCGCAUGGUUCAAAAGUGAAAGACGGUCUUGCUGUCACUUAUAGAUGGAUCCGCGCUGCAUUAGCUAGUUGGUAAGGUAACGGCUUACCAAGGCAACGAUGCAUAGCCGACCUGAGAGGGUGAUCAGCCACACUGGAACUGAGACACGGUCCAGACUCCUACGGGAGGCAGCAGUAGGGAAUCUUCCGCAAUGGGCGAAAGCCUGACGGAGCAACGCCGCGUGAGUGAUGAAGGUCUUCGGAUCGUAAAACUCUGUUAUUAGGGAAGAACAUAUGUGUAAGUAACUGUGCACGUCUUGACGGUACCUAAUCAGAAAGCCACGGCUAACUACGUG